CCUACGGGAGGCAGCAGUGAGGAAUAUUGGUCAAUGGACGCAAGUCUGAACCAGCCAUGCCGCGUGCAGGAAGACGGCUCUAUGAGUUGUAAACUGCUUUUGUACGAGGGUAAAUCCCGAUACGUGUAUCGGGUUGACAGUAUCGUACGAAUAAGCAUCGGCUAACUCCGUGCCAGCAGCCGCGGUAAUACGGAGGAUUCAAGCGUUAUCCGGAUUUAUUGGGUUUAAAGGGUGCGUAGGCGGGUAUAUAAGUUAGAGGUGAAAUCCCUGGGCUCAACUCCGGCACUGCCUCUGAUACUGUCGAGCUAGAGAAUAGUUGAGGUAGGCGGAAUGUGUGGAGUAGCGGUGAAAUGCAUAGAGAUCAUACAGAACACCGAUUGCGAAGGCAGCUUACCAGACUACGACUGACGUUGAGGCACGAGAGCAUGGGGAGCGAACAGGAUUAGAUACCCGUGUAGUC
This 460-nucleotide ribosomal RNA is filed under the name uncultured bacterium. RNAcentral's name for it is "partial 16S ribosomal RNA". It matches the Rfam family "Bacterial small subunit ribosomal RNA", at positions 338 to 795 of the family's 1533-position model. The record is from RNAcentral.